This 497-nucleotide ribosomal RNA is filed under the name uncultured bacterium. RNAcentral's name for it is "partial 16S ribosomal RNA". It matches the Rfam family "Bacterial small subunit ribosomal RNA", at positions 28 to 507 of the family's 1533-position model. The record is from RNAcentral.
GAUGAACGCUGGCGGCGUGCCUAAUACAUGCAAGUCGAGCGAACGGACGAGAAGCUUGCUUGUCUGAUGUUAGCGGCGGACGGGUGAGUAACACGUGGAUAACCUACCUAUAAGACUGGGAUAACUUCGGGAAACCGGAGCUAAUACCGGAUAAUAUUUUGAACCGCAUGGUUCAAAAGUGAAAGACGGUCUUGCUGUCACUUCUAGAUGGAUCCGCGCUGCAUUAGCUAGUUGGUAAGGUAACGGCUUACCAAGGCAACGAUGCAUAGCCGACCUGAGAGGGGGAUCGGCCACACGGGAACUGAGACACGGUCCAGACUCCUACGGGAGGCAGCAGUAGGGUAUCUUCCGCAAUGGGCGAAAGCCUGACGGAGCAACGCCGCGCGAGUGAUGAAGGUCUUCGGAUCGGAAAACUCUGUUACUAGGGAAGAACAUAUGUGUAAGUAACUGAGCACAUCUUGACGGUACCUAAUCAGAAAGCCACGGCUAACUACGUG